GGACGGUUCGAGUAAGUGAUAUUUCGGAACAGAAUCUAGUUCCUUCAAUAACUAGAUUCUGUUCCGAAAUAUCACUUACUCGAAC
This is a non-coding RNA of Paramuricea clavata, 85 nucleotides long. NCBI's taxonomy places the organism in Eukaryota, Metazoa, Cnidaria, Anthozoa, Malacalcyonacea, Plexauridae. The record is from the annotation of a GenBank genome assembly.